GCGCCCGUAGCUCAGCUGGAUAGAGCGUCUGACUACGGAUCAGAAGGUCAGGAGUUCGAAUCUUCUCGGGCGCACCA
RNAcentral lists this transfer RNA (77 nucleotides) under Truepera radiovictrix. RNAcentral's name for it is "tRNA-Arg". It matches the Rfam family "tRNA". Rfam says of the family: Transfer RNA (tRNA) molecules are approximately 80 nucleotides in length. Their secondary structure includes four short double-helical elements and three loops (D, anti-codon, and T loops). The record is from RNAcentral. RNAcentral also lists the same sequence under 3 other names. Lineage: Bacteria; Thermotogati; Deinococcota; Deinococci; Trueperales; Trueperaceae.